GAUGAACGCUAGCGGCAGGCUUAAUACAUGCAAGUCGAGGGGUAACAUGGGGUAGCAAUACUCUGAUGACGACCGGCAAACGGGUGCGGAACACGUACGCAACUUUCCCAAAACUGGUGAAUAGCCCUCCGAAAGGAGGAUUAAUACACCGUAACAUAUAGAGGUGGCAUCGCCUUUAUAUUAUAGCUCCGGCGGUUUUGGAUGGGCGUGCGCCUGAUUAGGUAGUUGGUGUGGUAACGGCUCACCAAGCCUACGAUCAGUAACUGGUGUGAGAGCACGACCAGUCACACGGGCACUGAGACACGGGCCCGACUCCUACGGGAGGCAGCAGUAAGGAAUAUUGGUCAAUGGACGAAAGUCUGAACCAGCCAUGCCGCGUGAAGGAUGAAGGCCCUCUGGGUUGUAAAGCUCUUUUACCCCUGACGAUAAUGACGGUAAGGGGAGAAAAAGCCACGGCUAACUUCGUG
This 467-nucleotide ribosomal RNA is filed under the name uncultured bacterium. RNAcentral describes it as "partial 16S ribosomal RNA". It matches the Rfam family "Bacterial small subunit ribosomal RNA", at positions 28 to 507 of the family's 1533-position model. The record is from RNAcentral.